CGGGACACGUGGUAUCCUGUCUGAAUAUGGGGGGACCAUCCUCCAAGGCUAAAUACUCCUGACUGACCGAUAGUGAACCAGUACCGUGAGGGAAAGGCGAAAAGAACCCCGGCGAGGGGAGUGAAAAAGAACCUGAAACCGUGUACGUACAAGCAGUGGGAGCCUCUUAAUGGGGUGACUGCGUACCUUUUGUAUAAUGGGUCAGCGACUUAUAUUCUGUAGCAAGGUUAACCGAAUAGGGGAGCCGAAGGGAAACCGAGUCUUAACUGGGCGUUAAGUUGCAGGGUAUAGACCCGAAACCCGGUGAUCUAGCCAUGGGCAGGUUGAAGGUUGGGUAACACUAACUGGAGGACCGAACCGACUAAUGUUGAAAAAUUAGCGGAUGACUUGUGGCUGGGGGUGAAAGGCCAAUCAAACCGGGAGAUAGCUGGUUCUCCCCGAAAGCUAUUUAGGUAGCGCCUCGUGAAUUCAUCUCCGGGGGUAGAGCACUGUUUCGGCAAGGGGGUCAUCCCGACUUACCAACCCGAUGCAAACUGCGAAUACCGGAGAAUGUUAUCACGGGAGACACACGGCGGGUGCUAACGUCCGUCGUGAAGAGGGAAACAACCCAGACCGCCAGCUAAGGUCCCAAAGUCAUGGUUAAGUGGGAAACGAUGUGGGAAGGCCCAGACAGCCAGGAUGUUGGCUUAGAAGCAGCCAUCAUUUAAAGAAAGCGUAAUAGCUCACUGGUCGAGUCGGCCUGCGCGGAAGAUGUAACGGGGCUAAACCAUGCACCGAAGCUGCGGCAGCGACGUUUAUGCGUUGUUGGGUAGGGGAGCGUUCUGUAAGCCUGCGAAGGUGUACUGUGAGGUAUGCUGGAGGUAUCAGAAGUGCGAAUGCUGACAUAAGUAACGAUAAAGCGGGUGAAAAGCCCGCUCGCCGGAAGACCAAGGGUUCCUGUCCAACGUUAAUCGGGGCAGGGUGAGUCGACCCCUAAGGCGAGGCCGAAAGGCGUAGUCGAUGGGAAACAGGUUAAUAUUCCUGUACUUGGUGUUACUGCGAAGGGGGGACGGAGAAGGCUAUGUUGGCCGGGCGACGGUUGUCCCGGUUUAAGCGUGUAGGCUGGUUUUCCAGGCAAAUCCGGAAAAUCAAGGCUGAGGCGUGAUGACGAGGCACUACGGUGCUGAAGCAACAAAUGCCCUGCUUCCAGGAAAAGCCUCUAAGCAUCAGGUAACAUCAAAUCGUACCCCAAACCGACACAGGUGGUCAGGUAGAGAAUACCAAGGCGCUUGAGAGAACUCGGGUGAAGGAACUAGGCAAAAUGGUGCCGUAACUUCGGGAGAAGGCACGCUGAUAUGUAGGUGAAGUCCCUCGCGGAUGGAGCUGAAAUCAGUCGAAGAUACCAGCUGGCUGCAACUGUUUAUUAAAAACACAGCACUGUGCAAACACGAAAGUGGACGUAUACGGUGUGACGCCUGCCCGGUGCCGGAAGGUUAAUUGAUGGGGUUAGCGGUAACGCGAAGCUCUUGAUCGAAGCCCCGGUAAACGGCGGCCGUAACUAUAACGGUCCUAAGGUAGCGAAAUUCCUUGUCGGGUAAGUUCCGACCUGCACGAAUGGCGUAAUGAUGGCCAGGCUGUCUCCACCCGAGACUCAGUGAAAUUGAACUCGCUGUGAAGAUGCAGUGUACCCGCGGCAAGACGGAAAGACCCCGUGAACCUUUACUAUAGCUUGACACUGAACAUUGAGCCUUGAUGUGUAGGAUAGGUGGGAGGCUUUGAAGUGUGGACGCCAGUCUGCAUGGAGCCGGCCUUGAAAUACCACCCUUUAAUGUUU
RNAcentral lists this ribosomal RNA (1813 nucleotides) under Escherichia coli. RNAcentral's name for it is "partial 23S ribosomal RNA". It matches the Rfam family "Bacterial large subunit ribosomal RNA", at positions 418 to 2215 of the family's 2925-position model. The record is from RNAcentral. Lineage: Bacteria; Pseudomonadati; Pseudomonadota; Gammaproteobacteria; Enterobacterales; Enterobacteriaceae.